CCCGGGGGCUGCGGGGAGAGUUCUGGGCUCCCGCGUCUCUGCUCGCGGCAGCUCAAAGCGGCAGAUCGAGCUCCGCGCUUCUGCCCCGGUGGAGGCAACUUGGCGCGCUGGGAUCGCAUUUUUGUGCGCGAUCAUUAAAUCGAACUCGGCCCUACUCUGUGCUCCCGCGUAGAUCCAGGCCCUCUGUUGCCGUUUAUUUGGUUCCUUACAGUGAAGUUCUGCGUUUCUACCAAGUCCCAGUGCUGCCGUCCGAGUAGUGAGGGCUGGGGAGACUUUGAGAAAUACUGACCCCGGGACGUGGGCGCCCUUUAUUUAUUCAGGGUCCAACCGCUGCCUUCCCAGUAGGAUCGGGUCUGGAAGGGUCCAUCUUGGGCGGAGGGAAGGAAACAGAAUUGUGCCCCCACAGCUACACACACAUCUCUGUACCCGUGGAAGGACCUUACAAGCGUCCCCAGCGGACCCAGGAAGGGUCCUAAACAAAUGGGAAGACUGAGGCUCAGAGAGGCCCAGGGUCACACUGCUCAACCAUACCAGACACGGUUGGUACCCACCACAUCCCUUCUGCCUGCUGUCCUCCCUGGAGGCCUCCAGCGGGCAAUUCCUGGACACUCCUCGGACAGCUCCCCACAUCUGAGGGCUCCAGGGCAGGCUGGAGGCGCUUGGGAAUUGACACCCCCAGGAAGGACCCCUCAACCAAGGAGAGACCAGAGGUGGUGGUAAACAUGCCAAUCUCUUCACUCUCAGUGGGAUAACUUGAAGGCAUGUUCUAAUCAGUAUAGUCUCUCAAAGGUCCCCAACAAGAUAAGCAGCCCUAGUGGCACCGGGUGGUAGCCCCUCAUGGAUACACUGUUGCUUUUUGACCUUCUCUUUCACUUCCCCACCCCCUCAUUAUGUUUCCUGGGAUCAUCUCUCAAAUAAUAAACUACUUGCCUCCAAAUCCUGCCUCAGGGGAAAUCAAAAUGAGACAGGGACGGUGGCAGAGCUAAAACACAUGUCUCCAGACUCCUCAUCCAGUGCUCUUUCCUCCACACCAGAGUUUCUCAACCUCUGCACUAUUAACAUUUUGGACUGGCUAAUUCAUUGCUGUGAGGGGCAGAGCUGUGUACUGUAGGAUGUUUAGCAGCAUCCCUGACCUCUAGCAACUAGAUGCCAGUAGCACCUUCCAGUUGGGAGCAAUCAAAAAUGUCUCCGAGGGGCCGGCCCGGUGGUGCAGCAGUUAAGUUCACACGUUCUGCUUUGGCGGCCUGGGGUUUGCCGGUUCUGACCCCCGGGUGCGGACAUGGCACUGCUUGGCAAGCCAUGCUGUGGCAGACCUCCCACAUAUAAAGUGGAGGAAGAUGGACAUGGAUGUUAGCUCAGGGCCAGUCUUCCUUAGCAAAAAGAGG
This 1385-nucleotide long non-coding RNA is filed under the name Equus caballus (horse). RNAcentral's name for it is "lncRNA (ENSECAG00000051480.1)". The record is from RNAcentral. Lineage: Eukaryota; Metazoa; Chordata; Mammalia; Perissodactyla; Equidae.